This 698-nucleotide long non-coding RNA is filed under the name Homo sapiens (human). RNAcentral describes it as "non-protein coding ZNF460-AS1:4". Lineage: Eukaryota; Metazoa; Chordata; Mammalia; Primates; Hominidae. The record is from RNAcentral.
AGUUUUUCCCUUACAUCUACCGGGUGUGGGAACUCACCCAGCGCAUCCGACUGCACAAUGAAAAAAAGUAGUUUUCCUUUACAAUGAGGCUUGGCCCCCAGGGCGAUGGUGCCACAAGCCAGAUCACUGGGACCACUCAGAGAAAGGGAACACAGAAGCCUGGCAUGCCAGCAAAAAGCAGGGUUUUUGUGAGCAGUGUCUUGCACCAAACUCCUGUCUCCUCCUGUGACUUAGAAUGCCUAACUUCCUGGGAAUGCAGCACAGGUCUCAGCCUCAUUUUGCCCAGCCCCUAUUCAAGACGGAUUUGCUGUGGUUCAAAUGCUUCUGACAAUAUUCCUCAUGGUGAAUGCUGGAUUUUGCAUGCCCGAGGCCCUGGGCCACACUGUAUGUUUGCUUUUUGCAAGGGCUGUAUGGCUAUGACUAGUUAUGUGGACCCUGCAUUCCUAUGUAAAUGACCCUCCAUAAAAACCCCAGAAAUGAAUGCUUGAGUGAACUUCCCUGGCUUGUAUUAUAAUACUGUGAACAUCUUGUCACACAUCUUUGCUGGGGGAAUUAAGUGUGUCCCUAUGUGACCGUAAUGGGAGAUAACACCCAGAGUUUUGUGCCUGCUUUCAUGUGGACUUCAUUCUAUGUGAUUUUUCCCUUUGGUGAUCCUGGUCUAUAUCCUUUUAUUGUAAUAAACUAUAACCAUAACAGCU